UACGGAGGAUCCGAGCGUUAUCCGGAUUUAUUGGGUUUAAAGGGUGCGCAGGCGGGAGAUUAAGUCGGCGGUGAAAUUUUGCAGCUCAACUGUAAAAGUGCCUUCGAUACUGGUUUCCUUGAGUGUGGAUGAAGUAGGCGGAAUUUGUGGUGUAGCGGUGAAAUGCUUAGAUAUCACGAGGAACUCCGAUUGCGCAGACAGCUUACUAAACCACUACUGACGCUCAGGCACGAAGGCGUGGGGAUCAAACAGGAUUAGAUACCCUGGUA
This 269-nucleotide ribosomal RNA is filed under the name uncultured prokaryote. Its description in RNAcentral is "partial 16S ribosomal RNA". It matches the Rfam family "Bacterial small subunit ribosomal RNA", at positions 524 to 792 of the family's 1533-position model. The record is from RNAcentral.